AGGUGAACAUGCACCAGGCCCAGUAGGAUGAGCCGAAGUGACCCACCGAGGCCACCAGGCUGAAGGAGAUACAGGAAGAGGGUGAGCACAUAAGAGUGAGGCAGGUGUGUCACGGCACUGUGCAACACCAUCAGGACUGCAUCCCUCACUGAUCUGUUCCUCCUGUAUGCAAACUGCAUUGGGUCAAGGGCUCUGUCCACAUGAGACCUGAGACGUUCUGCCUCUACAAUAACAAGAAUCCAGCCAGAACCAAGGAGCAUCGGGAUUGUCAAGAAUAUUCUCAAUUCGCAACACUCCCUUUUCCCACCCCUGGAAGCCAAAACAUUUCCGCUUCUCUUCCUCCUGUAAUGGGAUGACACUGUGGAGGUGGAGGGAGAGAAAGAAGGAGGAAGAGAG
Coregonus clupeaformis (lake whitefish) is the source of this 396-nucleotide long non-coding RNA. RefSeq lists it as uncharacterized. The record is from RefSeq and is a predicted model, not a curated record. The transcript has 3 exons. NCBI's taxonomy places the organism in Eukaryota, Metazoa, Chordata, Actinopteri, Salmoniformes, Salmonidae.